UUUCAACAACGGAUCUCUUGGUUCUGGCAUCGAUGAAGAACGCAGCGAAAUGCGAUAAGUAAUGUGAAUUGCAGAAUUCAGUGAAUCAUCGAAUCUUUGAACGCACAUUGCGCCCGCCAGAAUUCUGGCGGGCAUGCCUGUUCGAGCGUCAUUUCAACCC
This 160-nucleotide ribosomal RNA is filed under the name uncultured Ascomycota. Its description in RNAcentral is "5.8S ribosomal RNA". It matches the Rfam family "5.8S ribosomal RNA". From Rfam's summary of the family: 5.8S ribosomal RNA (5.8S rRNA) is a component of the large subunit of the eukaryotic ribosome. Lineage: Eukaryota; Fungi; Ascomycota. The record is from RNAcentral.